Molecule: ribosomal RNA, 371 nt
Filed under: uncultured bacterium
Lineage: Bacteria
Description: bacterial SSU rRNA
Rfam family: Bacterial small subunit ribosomal RNA
Source: RNAcentral
GUAGGGUGCGAGCGUUAUCCGGAAUUAUUGGGCGUAAAGAGCUCGUAGGCGGUUUGUCGCGUCUGUCGUGAAAGUCCGGGGCUUAACCCCGGAUCUGCGGUGGGUACGGGCAGACUAGAGUGCAGUAGGGGAGACUGGAAUUCCUGGUGUAGCGGUGGAAUGCACAGAUAUCAGGAGGAACACCGAUGGCGAAGGCAGGUCUCUGGGCUGUAACUGACGCUGAGGAGCGAAAGCAUGGGGAGCGAACAGGAUUAGAUACCCUGGUAGUCCAUGCCGUAAACGAUGAAUGCUAGGUGUUGGAGGGUUACCGCCCUUCAGUGCCGCAGCUAACGCAUUAAGCAUUCCGCCUGGGGAGUACGACCGCAAGGUUG